This 62-nucleotide microRNA precursor is filed under the name Saccoglossus kowalevskii. RNAcentral describes it as "Sko-Mir-1_pre stem-loop". It matches the Rfam family "mir-1 microRNA precursor family", at positions 10 to 70 of the family's 79-position model. Rfam says of the family: This family represents the microRNA (miRNA) mir-1 family. miRNAs are transcribed as ~70nt precursors (modelled here) and subsequently processed by the Dicer enzyme to give a ~22nt product. In this case the mature sequence comes from the 3' arm of the precursor. The record is from RNAcentral. Lineage: Eukaryota; Metazoa; Hemichordata; Enteropneusta; Harrimaniidae.
ACGUACUUCUUUAUAAUUCCAUACCUUAUUCCCAUCUGUAUGGAAUGUAAUGAAGUAUGUAU